Long non-coding RNA from Lepus europaeus (European hare), 247 nucleotides. RefSeq lists it as uncharacterized. NCBI's taxonomy places the organism in Eukaryota, Metazoa, Chordata, Mammalia, Lagomorpha, Leporidae. The record is from RefSeq and is a predicted model, not a curated record. The transcript has 4 exons.
UAGUUCCUCCCUCCCUGCGCUCCCCACUAUGAAACUCCUGGUUCUCCUGGCCUUUCUUGCUCUGUCUACCAUGCCGCUGUCUGCUCAGGAAGAGAGCUCCGCCCCUAGUGAGAACGUCGUUAAAGAGCAAGAGAGCUCCGUCUCCUCUGUGAGCUACAUUUAUGAAGUGGUUUAUUUCCGGAUACCUGCACUAUGGCUGUAUUUAACAAAAAAUCUGAAGAAUGGUCUGGAGCUUCUGUCACCUUCA